UAAGACGGAGGGUGCAAGCGUUGCUCGGAAUUACUGGGCGUAAAGGGCGCGUAGGCGGUCCGCUAAGUUCGGUGUGAAAGCCCCCGGCUCAACUGGGGAAGGGCGCCGGAUACUGGCGGACUAGAGUACCGGAGAGGAGGGUGGAAUUCCUGGUGUAGCGGUGAAAUGCGUAGAUAUCAGGAGGAACACCGGUGGCGAAGGCGGCCCUCUGGACGAGUACUGACGCUGAGGCGCGAAAGCGUGGGGAUCAAACAGGAUUAGAUACCCUGGUAGUCCACGCUGUAAACGAUGGGGACUAGGUGUGGGGGGUAUUGACCCCUCCCGUGCCGCAGCUAACGCAUUAAGUCCCCCGCCUGGGGAUUACGGCCGCAAGGUUA
RNAcentral lists this ribosomal RNA (377 nucleotides) under uncultured bacterium. RNAcentral describes it as "bacterial SSU rRNA". It matches the Rfam family "Bacterial small subunit ribosomal RNA", at positions 521 to 896 of the family's 1533-position model. The record is from RNAcentral.